CAACUUCCAUAAUUGAUUUAUUAAUCGCGUGUUUUCCAGUGUUUUAUCCACAUUAACGUCAAACAUGCUAAUGAUUUACUCCCUCCACUCUUUUUGUCCAGCCUGUCCAAGGCUUCGACUAUGCGAAGAAGCACUUGGGUCGGACGGGGGAAGAGACCGUCUCCGUUACCAAGGAGACGCUGGUGAUGAGUCUACCUGUACGUGAUGCUCCUCUGUCCAUGUCAUUGGAUAAAAAGAUCCACCAGGAUGGGACUGCCAGUAAGAGGCCUCCAUCUGCUGAUAUACACAAAGGAGGGCUGUUGCCAAGUGAAGAGGACGGCUCGGUGUCAAGCAAAGGCUCUGGGAUGCUAAACACCAGCAAAAGCUCGUCGGCACGGAGAACCGUUACCGGCGGCAGCAUCAAGAACGACCCUUAUGAUGAGCAUUCAGGCUCUCUGCGUCUCAUUGCCAUCAAACCAAUGACGGCCCAGCCCACCUACUCCUACCCCUUAUCCACUUCUCACAGCCAAGACUCAAUUGUUGUCAAUGGAGAGGUGAGUAUCCCACACACACACACACACACACACACGCUCACACUGAAUGUACACAUCUUUUAGAUUUUCCUGCACACAGAGCUAGCUGGUAA
This 625-nucleotide long non-coding RNA is filed under the name Gouania willdenowi (blunt-snouted clingfish). Its description in RNAcentral is "lncRNA (ENSGWIG00000000690.1)". Lineage: Eukaryota; Metazoa; Chordata; Actinopteri; Blenniiformes; Gobiesocidae. The record is from RNAcentral.